RNAcentral lists this long non-coding RNA (995 nucleotides) under Capsicum annuum. Its description in RNAcentral is "long non-coding RNA (CANN_LNC017987)". The record is from RNAcentral. Lineage: Eukaryota; Viridiplantae; Streptophyta; Magnoliopsida; Solanales; Solanaceae.
AUUCUCCUUCUUUAAUUUUACAAUCACCAUGCCACCCACCACAUGUACAGCCACCAGCCAUAACCACCUUCUCCGUUCCUCUUCCUCCAUCACCAUCCCUACUCCCAACUCUUCCAUUCCGCCGAAAUCAAGAAUAGCAAAAUACUAAUUUUUUUGACAUAGGAAAGAGAGCUUGCCGGAAGUGUCUAUUAUGGUUGUUAAAGAAAGCCUAAUUGCUAAAUCUCAAAAGAGGUUGUUCAAUUUAUGAAGAAAUACAAUUACCACGCCGCAUGUGUUUGUUGAGUGUUAUGGAUCACACGAUGGGUAUUGACGCUGGUGACAUUAUUGUUGGUAGUUCCACUCUCACCCCCGUCUCCUCACAGUGAACCACUAUUUAUUUUCAUUCCUCAUCACCAUUUCAACUCCUGCCACACUCUUUAAUUUUAUUAAAAAAUUAUUUUUGUAAGAUUUUUGUGGCUCAAUUUCUAAUUGACUUAGUAGGUGUCGAUGAUGGGUGUUGCGGAAUUGACGAAGGCGGAGAUGAAAGUGGAGUUUUUAAUUGCUUCAGCCAUUUAAAUUCCUUUUAACAGUUUCAGUACGGCCACCGAAAUUUCAAGAUAAAGCUUUGUAAUUAAUUUUUUGUUCAUUUAAUCGUUAUAUUGUAAAAAUGAUUUAGGAUGGAAUAUCUUAACUUCCUUCGUCGUUUUGAUACCAUUUUUGAAAUUCCAAGAUAAGUAUUGUGGCUGAAGCAAUGGCGGUGAAAUUAAUAUUGGCGAUAAGUAGAGUAUUGUGGAGUUGAUGAAAGUAAAAGUGAAAUUGCAUUUGGUGAUGGGUAUUGUGAAGUUGAAGAUUGCAACGAUGGUGUUAGCGAGAGCUUGGAUGGUGGCGAAGAGUUGGUGGUGGUGGGUUUCAUAGUUUCGCCGGUGGUAUGGUAAAGCACCAACGCUGCUGGAUGAAAAAAGAAAAGAAAAAAUUUAAAAAUAUAUAAAAGAAUAAAAAUUAACUCGUGGAGGUGC